GCCUGGAUGGCUCAGUCAGUUGGGCAACUGACUUCAGCUCAGGUCAUGAUUUCACAGUUCGUGGGUUCGAGCCCUGCGUCGGGCU
Molecule: non-coding RNA, 85 nt
Organism: Felis catus (domestic cat)
Lineage: Eukaryota; Metazoa; Chordata; Mammalia; Carnivora; Felidae
Source: Rfam